UGUUCGGAAACGGGUUUUCGACUCAUACUUUAUCGAGUCAGCUCGUAUUCGACUCGUUUAUUAACUAGCCGAACACGACUUGAUUCACGAGCUAGCAAAUAAAUAAUAAGUUAAAAAGAUUAGAUUGAACGUAUAUAAAAAAUAAAUUUAUAAAAUCGUAUCCAUUAGAUUUUAAUUUAAUGGUUGAAAUUUUACAUAUAAAUGAGUCUUUUUUAUAAUUGUGCCCGUCUUCAUAUUUUUAUUUUGCUAGAAAUUAAAUAAUAAAAAUAUAUAUUAUAUAUAUAAUUAUUUAUUUAUAUAUAUAAAUAUAAAUUAAAUAAAUUAUAUAAAUAUAAAAUAUAUGUAUUCGAGCUGUUAUUGAGUCGAACACGAGCGAGCUGAUCCCAACUCAUGUUCGGCUCGUUUAUUAAACUAACCGAAAAAUUCAGCUCGUGUUCAACUCGUUUACUAAACGAGCGAUUCGAUCUCGAGCUCAUUUCGAACCGAACACGAACUGGCUCACGAAUGGCAAGAUGGAUUGUCACCCCUAAGGGAGAGACAACUUCUUUUUAAACUGAUACUAAACAAAUUUAUAUAAUUAACUAAAUAACC
RNAcentral lists this long non-coding RNA (591 nucleotides) under Ananas comosus (pineapple). RNAcentral's name for it is "long non-coding RNA (ACOM_LNC003134)". Lineage: Eukaryota; Viridiplantae; Streptophyta; Magnoliopsida; Poales; Bromeliaceae. The record is from RNAcentral.